Molecule: ribosomal RNA, 491 nt
Filed under: uncultured bacterium
Lineage: Bacteria
Description: partial 16S ribosomal RNA
Rfam family: Bacterial small subunit ribosomal RNA
Source: RNAcentral
AGUGAACGCUGGCGGUAGGCCUAACACAUGCAGGUCGAACGGCAGCACAGUAAGAGCUUGCUCUUACGGGUGGCGAGUGGCGGACGGGUGAGGAAUACAUCGGAAUCUACUUUUUCGUGGGGGAUAACGUAGGGAAACUUACGCUAAUACCGCAUACGACCUACGGGUGAAAGCAGGGGAUCUUCGGACCUUGCGCGAUUGAAUGAGCCGAUGUCGGAUUAGCUAGUUGGCGGGGUAAAGGCCCACCAAGGCGACGAUCCGUAGCUGGUCUGAGAGGAUGAUCAGCCACACUGGAACUGAGACACGGUCCAGACUCCUACGGGAGGCAGCAGUGGGGAAUAUUGGACAAUGGGCGCAAGCCUGAUCCAGCCAUACCGCGUGGGUGAAGAAGGCCUUCGGGUUGUAAAGCCCUUUGUUGGGAAAGAAAAGCAGCAGGUUAAUACCCCGCUGUUCUGACGGUACCCAAAGAAUAAGCACCGGCUAACUUCGUG